RNAcentral lists this ribosomal RNA (253 nucleotides) under uncultured bacterium. RNAcentral describes it as "partial 16S ribosomal RNA". It matches the Rfam family "Bacterial small subunit ribosomal RNA", at positions 524 to 776 of the family's 1533-position model. The record is from RNAcentral.
UACGAAGGGUGCAAGCGUUACUCGGAAUUACUGGGCGUAAAGCGUGCGUAGGUGGUUCGUUAAGUCUGAUGUGAAAGCCCUGGGCUCAACCUGGGAAUGGCAUUGGAUACUGGCGACCUAGAGUGCGGUAGAGGGGUGUGGAAUUCCCGGUGUAGCAGUGAAAUGCGUAGAUAUCGGGAGGAACAUCUGUGGCGAAGGCGACACCCCGGACCAGCACUGACACUGAGGCACGAAAGCGUGGGGAGCAAACAGG